RNAcentral lists this ribosomal RNA (495 nucleotides) under uncultured bacterium. Its description in RNAcentral is "partial 16S ribosomal RNA". It matches the Rfam family "Bacterial small subunit ribosomal RNA", at positions 28 to 507 of the family's 1533-position model. The record is from RNAcentral.
GACGAACGCUGGCGGCGUGCCUAAUACAUGCAAGUAGAACGCUGAAGGAGGAGCUUGCUUCUCUGGAUGAGUUGCGAACGGGUGAGUAACGCGUAGGUAACCUGCCUGGUAGCGGGGGAUAACUAUUGGAAACGAUAGCUAAUACCGCAUAAUAGCAGUUGUUGCAUGAUAACUGUUUGAAAGGUGCAAUUGCACCACUACCAGAUGGACCUGCGUUGUAUUAGCUAGUUGGUGGGGUAACGGCUCACCAAGGCGACGAUACAUAGCCGACCUGAGAGGGGGAUCGGCCACACUGGGACUGAGACACGGCCCAGACUCCUACGGGAGGCAGCAGUAGGGAAUCUUCGGCAAUGGACGGAAGUCUGACCGAGCAACGCCGCGUGAGUGAAGAAGGUUUUCGGAUCGUAAAGCUCUGUUGUAAGAGAAGAACGAGUGUGAGAGUGGAAAGUUCACACUGUGACGGUAUCUCACCAGAAAGGGACGGCUAACUACGUG